UACAGAGGUGGCAAGCGUUGUUCGGAAUUAUUGGGCGUAAAGAGCUUGUAGGCGGUUUGUCGCGUCUGCUGUGAAAUUUCGGGGCUCAACCCCGAACUUGCAGUGGGUACGGGCAGACUAGAGUGUGGUAGGGGAGACUGGAAUUCCUGGUGUAGCAGUGAAAUGCGUAGAUAUCAGGAGGAAUACCGAUGGCGAAGGCAGGUCUCUGGGCUGACACUGACGCUCAUGCACGAAAGCGUGGGGAGCAAACAGG
RNAcentral lists this ribosomal RNA (253 nucleotides) under uncultured bacterium. RNAcentral describes it as "partial 16S ribosomal RNA". It matches the Rfam family "Bacterial small subunit ribosomal RNA", at positions 524 to 776 of the family's 1533-position model. The record is from RNAcentral.